Molecule: long non-coding RNA, 2860 nt
Filed under: Volvox carteri
Lineage: Eukaryota; Viridiplantae; Chlorophyta; Chlorophyceae; Chlamydomonadales; Volvocaceae
Description: long non-coding RNA (VCAR_LNC002373)
Source: RNAcentral
CAGUUUUUGCCGUAAUCCAACCUCUCGCUACCCUCCUAUAAAUUCCAACUCUGCGAAGAGAAGUUAGAAUACUACUCUUUGUGUAAGGUUUAUCUAGACAUACUCUUACGAAUCUUGCGGUCGGUGUGUUGAGCAGGAGCUGCUCCUGCUCAACACCCUGCUGCAGGGGAUCAUGUCAAGUCGAACUGGGAUCUAGCAGCCCAGUUCUGGUAAAUCCUUUCCAGCCUAUUGAUACCUUUGAGACUUGAUCAUGGAUUGGUUUACAUUUGAGUCCUCGGGCACAUAGCGAACACUGCCGUCUCAGGGUCUUCACGAGGCUUCAGCAGCUGCACUUUUUCCUUCUGAUUCCUCUGGAAGUUGAACAUGUUACGAAAUUUGCUCUGGCUGCGAAAAUUGAAAGAUGCCGAAGCACCCGCGUUUGCCGACACUGAUACAAGGCUUUACCGGCGGCGGUGAAGACUUCGCUACAUUAUACAUGUGUGAUCGACCGUCGUCAUCUUUGCAUUCAACGUCCGAUCGAGACUGACCAUCGCAAGGAUAUACGGGGUGAGGCGGCUGGCGGCUUCUCAAUGCUCUGCUUUACAUCUAUAUCCUGCAGGUGUCCACGGUACCAGGUUCUUAGCUAUGGAAUGAGCACUCGCCGCAGCCGCGAGUUAUUUGAUGGUGGAGGGCUUUCGGGUAAGAAGUCGCGACGUUGUGUGACUUGUUGCCAGCCAGUUAAGUUGUGAUCAUGCGAUGAAUCCCUUAGCGCUGCAUAAGGGGCGUGGGUUGCUCUACACAUCCCUCGCCUGUUUAUACAGCGCAAAAAGAAGUAGACCAUCAUCAGGGCGGCGUUGAGGUCCCUCUGGAUCCAUGAGUUGUUGCCUUAAACCUGGUCCCACAGCACUUCGCAGAAACAAGACAUAAGAGGGGAAUAGGGAAUGUUUCUGUGCGCAUGGUGGGCAGCACCUGUGCAUGUGGCAGUAUGGGUUUGUGGUUUUGGAAGAAACGAAGAUCGUACGAGGCACCUGAAUAAAGGCUCCAGAGCGAACCCUUACCCGCACUUGCGCCCGACCUUGGGUGCGACAGCAACAUUUAGCGCACAUUUGUGGCCUAAUCAGGGUGCGGUGGCCAUUGUGCAUCGAUUCCCUUCGGCGGCCAGACAAAUCAUGCGUUUCUUGCUGAGCUGUACUUUUAGGUUUGCCUACAGGUUGGCUGUAUCGAUAGACGUUGCCCCAUGCAUCGCCUUGUUAUCUGCGGAGCGGAGGGGUUUUGGUGGGCUUACGGCAUCGGCAUUAUGGGCCUGGCCCUCCACAUUUGUACGUUCCGUAUUUGGCAUUCUGUUUGACUGCUAAUGUGGCAAAGCCAAUCCGCUGACUGUGUUGCCUAACUGUGUUAGUGCAGAGAUGGCCAAGUUCAUUAAUCUUCAAGAUGGUCGCGUCGUGUUAUGCAACUGGAGGCGGGAGCGUCGGUCCAGCGAUUGCAUAGCGCUAUUGUACAGCUCGCUUGGCCGAACUCCCGAUAGUCUGGGGGGCGGUGUAUGUAGAUCUCCACGUUAGCUGGAUUGGGCGGCUUGGGUGUUUUCAGCGCUUGUGAUGUGAGGCUGUGGCAGGUUAGCUGGAUUGAUCCAACUGUUUCAGACGAUUAUGUGCAUGAUAUGUUGUAAUGUGCGUGGCAUAUGAAUUUGUCGUUUGAGUGAGACCCGAUAGCGGUCGCAUCCGUGGUGUAUGGACAGACUGUCGGAAGACGGCCAAGUCCAAGAAGUCCUCGAGGACUCACUCCCUAGGAUGUAACGAGCAUUCAGCCAAAUCAAGUACAGCUACGAAAGUGUUCAAAUCAAGCAGCUCGCAGGCAUCUACAGUCGUAAUGCACGUACAGCCUCUACCUGCACGCAUGUCGUACGAAAACAGUUGCGCAUCGCACAGCAUAUGGAUGGAGCCCUUCCGAUAAACGCUCCACAAAGAAAAAAACAAAUUUUCAGGACUACAAGUCUAUGAGAGGGGAAUAGGCAGAGCAGACAAUGUGCAGAAACAUGAAAGCAUUACGAAGGACCUAGUUGCUGCUGGCAGCAAAGUGAAGCAGUAAUUCUAGGACGAAUCCGUGUAUUCCGCAAAACGAGCACACAGGUGCGCCCCAGCUGCAGCAGCAAGCGUUCGGAGUAAUCGGCAAAAUCUCUCAAGGCAGAAUAACGGGGCACCCGCCUCAACCGCUUGCAGGGGCCCCGCCGGGGCCCCGCAUGUGCAACCGAUUCCGGUGGGCUUUCGAGCAUCCCUCCCGGGUAUCUUAACGGACCGACCUGUGUAAACAGCAUAUUAUUGCUGUUAGCCAUGAGAUUUACAUUCUUCUCCAGACUUCUCCCCUUUCAUUUCGUUGACUUGCCUGGAUGAGUCUGGGAACGCAUUCCUGCGUUCAGGUCUUCCGAAUUUAGACCAGUGCCGGAGCUCUCAAGGUUUGUGUUCUUGUAACCACCAAUGCAGGAGUAAACGCACACAGACCCGCACGCUGCGGGCUCCUAUUCUUGAAGUUCUCGGAACCAGCGUCACGUGCGCACACCCAGUGGCAAACAGACCAUGCGCCAAAGAGCUCAUCGUUCAUAACGGGCGAGCGCGGUCUUCGCGGAUAGGCCAAUUGUCAGCGUUUUUGACAAAUCUUUACCGACAGCGCAACUAUGCACAUAACGCUGUUAAAACUAGACGAUAUCUUCUUCAUGCGGUUUGUCCUUAUGCCGCUCUGUUCACAUUUCUGGUGCCGUCCGGGAGUAGGGACAGCCGGAAGGAAUUUCCAAACAUAAGCUUUGCACGUGGCACGUUUUCUGGUCAAAAUGGUAGCUCUUUCGUUGGGAGGGAUGCCUAGCCAACCACCCACGUUACCGCUAGGGAAG